This 371-nucleotide ribosomal RNA is filed under the name uncultured bacterium. Its description in RNAcentral is "bacterial SSU rRNA". It matches the Rfam family "Bacterial small subunit ribosomal RNA", at positions 527 to 898 of the family's 1533-position model. The record is from RNAcentral.
GUAGGGUGCGAGCGUUAAUCGGAAUUACUGGGCGUAAAGCGUGCGCAGGCGGUUGUGCAAGACAGAUGUGAAAUCCCCGGGCUUAACCUGGGAACUGCAUUUGUGACUGCACGGCUGGAGUGCGGCAGAGGGGGAUGGAAUUCCGCGUGUAGCAGUGAAAUGCGUAGAUAUGCGGAGGAACACCGAUGGCGAAGGCAAUCCCCUGGGCCUGCACUGACGCUCAUGCACGAAAGCGUGGGGAGCAAACAGGAUUAGAUACCCUGGUAGUCCACGCCCUAAACGAUGUCAACUGGUUGUUGGGAAGGUUCCUUCUCAGUAACGAAGCUAACGCGUGAAGUUGACCGCCUGGGGAGUACGGCCGCAAGGUUGAA